Molecule: transfer RNA, 89 nt
Filed under: Nocardiopsis terrae
Lineage: Bacteria; Bacillati; Actinomycetota; Actinomycetes; Streptosporangiales; Nocardiopsidaceae
Description: tRNA-Gly
Source: RNAcentral
GGGCCGGUCGCCGACGGGCGGCCGGCCCCCUUCCGCGUGCCCGGAGGGCUCCCGUGCGUCCUCGGAGGGUUCCGGCCCUUCCGUGUCCG